Molecule: ribosomal RNA, 301 nt
Filed under: uncultured bacterium
Lineage: Bacteria
Description: partial 16S ribosomal RNA
Rfam family: Bacterial small subunit ribosomal RNA
Source: RNAcentral
CAGUCGCCACGGUAAUACGUAGGUGGCAAGCGUUGUCCGGAAUUAUUGGGCGUAAAGCGCGCGCAGGCGGAUAGGUCAGUCUGUCUUAAAAGUUCGGGGCUUAACCCCGUGAUGGGAUGGAAACUGCCAAUCUAGAGUAUCGGAGAGGAAAGUGGAAUUCCUAGUGUAGCGGUGAAAUGCGUAGAUAUUAGGAAGAACACCAGUGGCGAAGGCGACUUUCUGGACGAAAACUGACGCUGAGGCGCGAAAGCCAGGGGAGCGAACGGGAUUAGAGACCCGAGUAGUCCCUGUCUCUUAUACA